CUUAGUUAAGUCAUUCCCACCAUGCAAGUUCGAGUAGGGGUUCAAGAACAACCUCACAAUGAUAUGAUGUUGGCUAUUCUUGUUGCCUACCUUCACAACAUCAUGUAUGCAUAUAGAUAUCUUCCUGAGUGUAAGCACGCACUUUGUACUCCCCCAUGAUAGGGUGAAGUCGGUGUACGAGUCACAAACGAUCGGAGCCUACCACGGUGGAAGGCCACGAAAGAGUGUUCAAAGCACUCUCACGCUUAUCAACUUAAUAAUGGUUUGGUUGAGGGUUUUAGGUCUCAUCAUAUAUAAACAUACAUUUUAAUCUUAUUAAAACAAUUUUGGUCCUAUUACAACUAUUGGUCCAUGUGAUUGAUUUAGUAGUAUAUAAUACUCCCACUAAGCUUGUAAAACGAUUUUUAAAGCAAGAGUAUAUGGUACUACUAACAUAAGGUUUGCAUUCUUUGAUGGACUAUAUAGUUGCCUUAGGGCCUUAGGAUGACUAUGAACCUUUGAUUAGAUCCAACACGAGCCUAGUGUUGAAUCUCGGUCUAGGGAUGGUGAUUAAUUUUAGUUACGCGUUUAAUCAUAUUAAGGCGUGUUUCUCCUAUUGGGCGUUGGACCCAAUUACUCCAAUUUCAUGCAUAUCAAAUAAAACAAGAAAAUGAGUACUUCAAAGUAAAGAAGAGCUUAUGCUCUUUUACAACAUUUGAUCAAAACAAAUUAUUUUAAAGUAAAGAAAAGCUUAUGCUCUUUUACAACAUUUGAUCAUAUCAAAUUACAACCAAAAUCUAAUCUACACAUUCCCAUGGUUCAAACAAAUUUGAGACGGCCUUUCACAUAGCUCAAUUAUCGUAGACUUAGGUUCAUAAUCACCCUUUCUUUAAUUAAUUAACGUUUUAACUAAUUAAACUUGAAUGCAACUUUGUCAUUUGGUUUUUGUAUCCAUAGAAUUGAUUUAAAUGGAGCUAGAUGAAAUGAAAAUCCAAUUCUCAUUUAAAGAGACAAAACCAUUUUGUUCUCAACCUAAUUUGGGCCAAAAUGCAAUAACCUCAACUUUUGGGCAAUAUUGCAAAACAUAAACUUUUGAGGUCACUUUGUAAAAACACAAAAGUCCACUACUUUAUGUAAUUACAACUAGAACCCAAAAAUUUCAGCAAAUUCAAAAACCUCAUUAAAGGAACAAAACAAUUUGUCCUUCAGUGAUUUUGGGCCUUUACGUAAGAAACGUAAACUUUCGGGUCAAAGUACAAAUACACAAAAGUAUCAAAACUUUAUGUAAUUGCAUAAAAGCCCCAAAAGUACUCCCAUUGAGGGAGUGGCCGGUUUUGGAGUAGUGUGAAGCCAUAAAAAUUUUGAAAUUUUUUCAACAAAGUCAUAAAGCCAUGCAAGUGGAAAUUGGUUGCUGGGACAUAUGUGUGUAAGAAGAAAAUCAAUUAUGUACAUAAAUUCAAACACUCUAUCAACAUUUUCAAUCACCUUUAAUUAAUUAAAUGUCUUGUUGAUAGAAAAUUCACACCAACCAACACAAACAAAGACUUUAUAAAAUCAACCAAAACUUUGAAUCAAAACACCAAACCUUUUUGUUCUUGGUAAGAACCUCAAGAACAAUGAAGAACAUCCAUGAAAACCCAUAAGCGUUCCAUGAACAUUUUCACUCAAUAAAACUCAAAUUUUCACUACUCAAAAUGGGGUUAACAUCCUAGGGUACUUAGGGGUUCCAAAAGUCACCUUAAAACACUUUUAACAAGACAAACAAGAACCCAAAAAUCCACCCUUUGGAUUUGGCCGAAUUUCCCCAAAUACAUGGCACCAGAUUUUAGCUCCAAAAUUCAUGCUCAUAUGAACUACAUCUACAACAUUUGAGAUGGCAAAUUUUCUAACAAAAUUUACAUUCAAAGGAGCAAGAAUAAAGCUUGUAACAAUUACAACAUUCAAAUAAAAGACUAUGAACUACAAAACCCAAAAGGAUUCACCAACUACUAGACCUAGGCUCUGAUACCACUUGAAGGAAAAUUUGUGAAAAACAUGUUCAUUUGAGCAAUAUAGCAUGCAAUUAACAAUUAAAGGCGGAAACAUGCUUGUAUGCACUCAAAACAAAACAUUACCCAUGAAAUUCAAAGCCUAGUAGUUAGGUGAACCAAGACUCAACUCAAAACAAAAUGAGUUGAGAAAAUUAUACCUUUGUUGAUUCCUCUUUGCAUAAGCAAAGGAUAAUCACCCAAGAGAUAGGGCCUUCAUUCCUUGCUUCUUAGCUCCAUGGAUUUGGAUGGAAGAAUUGGUUUCUCCAAGUUCUCAAAGUUGAGAACCUCUAAGUCUCCACACCAUGGAGAGAUUGAUGAAGAAAUGAGUGACCUAGAGGAAGUAAGAUUGCUAGCUAUGUUCCUCUAGGGUGGCCGGCCUCUUAGGGAGCAAAUAGAGCUUUUGUUCUCAUCUUUUCUCCCAAAAGAAACCCUAAUGAAGAAAAGGCUAUAAAAUCAUAUUUAUACCUACCUUCAUUGGAGUGGCAAACUUGUAAUAAGUCCAAAACCCACUCCAUUAUUAAUAUGGCCGGCCAUAGGGUGUUAUUGGGUUGUUUGGACCUUUGUGAAUAAUUAGUCAUUAAGUUGUCAUACAACUUAAGUCAAUGGGCUUGACGUUCGAAGCCCA
RNAcentral lists this long non-coding RNA (2634 nucleotides) under Malus domestica (apple). RNAcentral describes it as "long non-coding RNA (MDOM_LNC013408)". The record is from RNAcentral. Lineage: Eukaryota; Viridiplantae; Streptophyta; Magnoliopsida; Rosales; Rosaceae.